This 572-nucleotide small RNA is filed under the name Pan troglodytes (chimpanzee). Its description in RNAcentral is "retained intron". Lineage: Eukaryota; Metazoa; Chordata; Mammalia; Primates; Hominidae. The record is from RNAcentral.
CUGUUGUAAGAUUCAGCAGGGUCUUUAUCUUUUUAAAAGUAGCACAUUUUUUGUUUUCUUUAUUUUGCAGUAAACAUAAAAGAGAGCAAGAUAAUUCUCGAUCUUCAUCGUCUUCAGCAUCGCCUUCUUCUCCCAGUUCUCGAGAAGAAAAGGAGAGUAAGAAGGAAAGAGAAGAAGAAUUUAAAACUCACCAUGAAAUGAAAGAAUACUCAGGCUUUGCAGGAGUUAGCCGACCACGAGGAACCUUUUUUCGAAUUAGAGGCAGAGGAAGAGCCAGAGGAGUUUUUGCUGGGACAAAUACUGGUCCAAACAACUCAAAUACUACUUUUCAAAAGAGACCGAAGGAAGAGGAAUGGGAUCCAGAAUAUACCCCAAAGAGCAAGAAGUACUUCUUGCAUGACGACAGAGAUGAUGGUGUGGAUUAUUGGGCCAAAAGAGGAAGAGGUCGUGGUACUUUUCAACGUGGCAGAGGGCGCUUUAACUUCAAAAAAUCAGGUAGCAGUCCUAAAUGGACUCAUGACAAAUACCAAGGGGAUGGGAUUGUUGAAGAUGAAGAAGAGACCAUGGAAAAU